RNAcentral lists this long non-coding RNA (18802 nucleotides) under Capsicum annuum. RNAcentral's name for it is "long non-coding RNA (CANN_LNC010010)". Lineage: Eukaryota; Viridiplantae; Streptophyta; Magnoliopsida; Solanales; Solanaceae. The record is from RNAcentral.
CUCCGCACGAUGCAUACAACAAUGGUGAGAACCCAUACUAUGACCUACAGGAUGUAGAAGUGUGGUAUGAGUGAGUACCAAACAUGUGGUACUUAGUAGGAAAUUGUCGAUUGAGCUCCAAAAUAAUGCAAAUAUACAUAACAUGUAAGAAAGAAUGUAAACUAUGCUAAAAUAUCUAGGAAACUAACAUAGUAAGUCUAAGAAGGAACUAAAAAUAUAAUAUCCUAUUAUAGCCAUACUCAGGAACCUAAGCACUAUACCAUAUAUCGUUGGCCCAUAUACAAAUAAAGAGAAGAUGAAGGAUAUAUAAUAGUAUACAAGGCUAAGGAAUAGAUAUAAAACAUGAAUAGAGGGAUAUACUAUAAUACCAUAACUACAUAUAUAAAUAUAUGUAUAUAAACAGAGGUAACCCAAAGGUACAACCUAAAGUAGUCAUACUAGCAUCUCAAGGCCUCUUAAUCAUAGUAGGAACUAGUACCAACAAAAUUAGGAUCUCUAAUCUAUACAUCUAAACAAGAGAUAAUUAUUCACAAUAAGGCAACCAUAAAGAAAGGAAUCAAAAUCAUACCUUGAAUCUCAGUACCAAUCCAAUAAUUAACCUGUUACAAGAUAAACAUAAUAAUAACAUAAUAAAGUAAUCGGCUAACCCAGAAGAACAAUACCUAAAUCGAGCCUCAUAACUCGAAAGGACUAAUCAACACACAACAACACACCAUAAGCAAUACUCAUCACCUAAACAUAUGUGAACCCCCAUAAGGCUGAUAGAAAUGGGUGCAUAUUGGUGAUAGCUAAUGCGCAUCCAAGGAUGAAUGCAAAGUAAAUCCAUAAUACCAUAACCAAUCCAAGAACCAUAAUAUAACCCAAUGUAUACAAAUCAUUCAACUUGACAACUCACAAAGGAAGGACCUACGAUGAUCUCUCUUUUUUUACGCGACGGCUCAAGGACGAAGGGACCCUAGGGGUCAAAAUCUUCCUCGACUGAGGUAAAUAGUAGUAUCAUGGAUCAGACUCUAUUUCUGCCAAAUCUCUAAAAAUAAUUUUUAGUCUCAUAAGUUAUUUAUUAAGAUGGUACGAUUCCUAUUAUGAAAAGAUCUAUGUUAAAAGUGAAAAGUGGGAAUGAAUCCCUUUUUAGGAAAAAACAAUAGUAAAACCAUAUUUUUAGUUAGAAUCAUACCAUUUAAUGUUUUAGUGAACAUGAAUGUAUGAAAUCUAUGUAUGCUAUCACCAAUAUCCAAAUAAUACAAAUUAUAAGUAUCUAAAUGUCAACAGACUAUAACCACAUCCUUUACAAGGAUAAACCACUUCUCGAAAUCCAACCAACAUCAUAAUCAUGGUCUUGAGCCCAAUAAUUUGUAUACCCAACAUAAUUAUAUCAUAAUUUGGAAAACCAUCACAAUCCACCAAGUACGUAGUAACAUUAUACUCAAGGUCCAUUAGUCCUAACUAUUCCUACAUGCUAGCGACCUAGGGUAAUAAGAUCUUGGAAGCAUAAUAAGUAUUUCACCUUAAGGGUCAAUUACCCUUCUAGCCUCCAAACUCAAAAAUUAGGCUAAAUCAUGGUGUUCUGCCAAAUAUCAUAUCCUAACAUCACUAUCUAACAUGCAACAUAUAUAAUACACUAUCUCAUGAAGAAGAAUAGACGAAAGCCUAUUUAGAUGCUAAAACGCAAUCCUUGAAUCGUUCCCAAAUUAUCUGCCUUCGUUCCGCUGUCCUGAAAUGCCACCAUGCAAUCAAAAUAGUAAUAUACACAUCAUAAGGAGUAAAAUUAGACCCAUAUUACUAUAUAAAAGAUUGGGUUGAAAUUCAGGUCAAGAAUGAGCCUGCAAAAUCCACAAACGAAAUUCAAAAUUGAAUCCGUCAUGAGGUCCUUUGAAGGAUAAGGAAUGUAUGCUCAAAAUUUGAGCACAAACAGAGCGUAAAUUGGAUCUAAAAUCUACCCUUAAAGUUCAGGAAUUAAAGACCUAAUUUCUAAGGAUUUUAUCAUGAAUUAGGAUGGAAAUUGAAGGAAAAAAUUAAUUUAAUAUAAAAUGACCAAAAAGAGUUAGGCUAGAAUACCUUAACUUAUAUGAAUGAUUUCCCACUUUUUACUGUCUUUGCGCUGAAAUAAUGGAAGAAAAUGAAGAAAAUCAGUUGGGGAAAAAGGGAUAAAUUACUACCAAGUUGCGCUUAAACGGUCACCCUAUCUCUUAAAUGACAACCACUUAAGAAACCCAACUAUCGCUUAAGCGAUAUAGAAUUUGGGGCUGGGUAUCACUUAAGUGACUCCCAAGCCACUUAAGCGAUGCCUGCUUAACAGAAUAGGACAUUUCUUAAGUAGGCCUUCACCAAAUGGUCAAGGACGCUUAAGUGACCCUAUGUCACAUACAUAGAGACUGCUUAAGCGGUCAUAUGAUAUCUUAAACAGUCGUAUCAGCAACCUGAUGUACCAGAUUUCUCCUAGUCCAAAACAAAUUUCUAUCGGAUUUGGGAUUCGUUCGAAACCACAUAUGUGAAAAUAAAUAUGCUACCAUACCAAAUUCUACGUUUAGGACUUAAUGGAACCAUCAAAACUUUUACCCGAGAUCAUUUCAACUAAGUGUGGAAUCAACACCUAUAGAUUCAUUUUACAUAUAAUCCAUCCGAUAGCCCAAAAUGAGUUUGGAAGCCUCGGGACCUGAACAAAGAGUCCCCUAGCUACAAUCAAUCUUCCAAAGCUGAUGGCAUUAUUAGAAUUCUCAUACGAGGUCAUACACUAGGGGUUUUGGUAUGAGACCAAAUUCUAAACAGCCAAAGCUCCAAAAUAGGAAAGUGAGCCUAAAAUCUAAACGACUGUCCAAUAACUGAGCCGAUAGUUUUGGCAAGUCAUAAAUAAUUUGUAGCCACUGUGGGAAGGCUCAAAAUGCUAAAAAUACACACAACUUGAGAAAAUUAUUGGAGGUUCAUUGCACUCUAGAAGUCUCGCCUUGGAAUUUGUGUCAUGUUUUUAUUUAAUAUCAAUUUGUGUGAUUGAUUUACUUGUUAAGGCUUAGUCAUGAUAAAUGCCAUUAUGGACUUAGUUUUUGGGGAAUGACAGAAUUCUAGCAUAUUACAUAAUAAAUAAGUUUGCUACUAUAAACCAUGAAAAGGUUUUAUAUGAUUCAAUUAAAAUAUUUUUUGCCUUUUCAUUUUAGUUUAUCGUCGUCUAUUGUAAUAUUUGAAUUUGACUGAAGUCGUUGUUUGCAUGUAAUUUUAUAUUUUCUAUUAGGUCUUAAAUAUGUGAUUUUAACAUCCUUUCAUAGGUCUUCAAUUCAUGUUCUUGUUAGAAUUUUUCUUGAAUUUCUUUUUACUUGAAUUCUAUUAGAAUUGUAUUUUAAUUCACGAAGGUUUUCUUAAAGGAAAAGAUUUCCUUGUAGGAAACAACCUGUACCAUAAUUUUUCAAUUCAUUAUUGGUAGAGAAGUUUUGGACUUCUAUCAAUAGAAGAUCCUUCUUUUCAAACCACAACACAAUAGCAUCUACAAUAUAGUCUUUAAAGAGUUUCUAGGGGGAUCUUUUCUCCUAAUAAAUUUUAUUCCUUUUUGUUUAGAUUUUAAUAUGUAGGACAAUUGUCCAAAUAAAAUAAAAAAUGUUAUGUUUUUAUUUUUUAUUUUAUGUGUCAUCUGAGUUAUUGCUUAUAUGGUUUGCAAACUACAAGCUUCUGUAUGACGCUCUAUCAAUUUCAAACACAACAAAUGGUAUCAGAGCUAUGGUUCAAAGGUACCAUGAUUUUAUGAAACGAGGUUGAAAAUUUCAAAUCUAUUUGCAACUAAUUUGAUGAUAAUGAAGAUCUUUGUCUAGCUAUAUCUGGAGAAGGAGUUUAAAACAUAUCUUUAAUAUUCCUUCUGCUGCAUCUUUAAAAAUAAAAAUAACAUAUUUUUAAACUCUUUUUAAAUCAUAACAUUUUAAACUUUAUUUUUAGCCAUGACAAGUAUCAGCGAUGAAAAUUAUAUGAGGAAAAAAAUAAUGAUCAAUUUUGUCAGAAAGUUCAGGUCAAGGGGAAAUUUUUUAGGAUUUGUCUUGAACUUUUUUUACUUGGAUUCUACCAUAAUUGUAUUUUAAUUUGAAAAGGUUUUCUUAGUGGAAAAGUUUUCCUUCUAGGAAGUAAUCUCUUUUAUAAUUGGUUAAUUCUUUCUUAGUGGAGAAGUUUUGGACUUCUAUAAAUAGAAAAUUCUUCUUCUCAAACCACAACACAAUAGCAUCCACAAUAUAGUCUUUAAAAAGUUUUUUAGGGGGAUCUUUUCUCCUAAUAGAUUUUAUAUUAUUUGAUUUAGCUUUUAAAAUGUAGGCAAUAGGUUGAACCAUAUCAAUACUAUUAUGUUUUAGUUUAGUUUUAUAUGUCUAGGUGGAUCUUGAUGUGUCGUGGAAACAUGGCACAUUUGAUGCUUAAAUGGUAAAAUUGUGCAUUAACUUAGGUUGUUUUGUCGAAUAUAAUGUAUGUAUUAUAUGUUUUGAAGGGAAAUUAGGUAGGAAGUGGCUUGGACUUAAAAAUAGAAGAAAAUGAUCUCAAAAAGUAAAGUAUUGGGCAGGCUAUGAGUCGUCAAGAUACCUUACGACUCAUAGCCCAAGUUGUAAGGAAAACAGUGGUUAAAGCUAAGCUGAGGAACUAAGUAAUGGAAGGCUAUGAGUCGUAAGGACAGACUACGACUAGUAGUGAGAAGUCGUAUUGUGACCAAUGUCUAAAGCAUUGAAGAUAGAUGCUCCAGUGGUUGCGAGUGAAGACCAGGAAUCGUAAUGUUUGAGUACGACUCAUGGUGAGGAAUCAUAAAGACAACAGACUCAUGUGAACCAAAGAGGAAAAGAUACCGAAGUGACUACUAUUCGUAGCAUAUGACUCAUAAUAUGACCAUACGAGUUGUAACCACUAAAGAAAGAAGGAAGCUACAAUAAUAGGCAGUAAGUCGCAAAGAGACCUAAUGACUAGUUGCCAGAGGCGUAACACUGUCGACUUAAUUUUCCCUUUUAUUUUAAUUAGAAUUCCUUUAUUAUUUUGAGAUACUAUAAAUAUCCUAUGGUUAUUUCUUUAUUAGGUUAUGCACUUUUUAUAAUUUUCUACAUACUUUGAUUAUUGAUACAAUUGUUCUUGAGUUUUUGGUUUCGUAUUCAAUUGGAGAUUUUGGAUUUUAGUCUUUCAUUAUUUUGCAAUUAAUUGCAUGUCUUAUUCAUUGAUUUUUAUGGAUUAUUGCAUAAGCCUAGUGGCUAAUUUCAUGGAUUAAUCAUACCCCGAGCUACUGUAGAAUCUUGGGAAUUGUGUGUAUUCGGAAACGUCCUCGCAAAGGAGUUUGAGAUUGGGAAAUAAGGUUACAACGGUAAUUCAAGGAUAUCAACCCUCUCCUAAUCAACUCGAGACUCAAAAGGUGAGAGUUGCACUGAGGUUAUUGACAAGGGAUAGCAAGGAGACGCCCUGAGACUCACAAGGUGAAGGGUGAGAUUUAUCAAAAUGUUCACAAAAUAAUUGAUAAUACAUAGCUUGUCAACUUUCUAUGCAGAGCAGUGGGUUAGGUGGAUCAAACACAAGAAACUUACAGAGUUGAGAAUCUAGGGGGAACACAGUCCUAGUGUUCAUUUUCUAUUAUUUACAAAUGCAAGCAUUCAAGUUUAGCUACUUGUUAUUAUUGACUUUAAAAUCCCCCUAUUUAAUUUUUCGCACUGCUCGUGGAUUUUGUCAAGUUUGAGAGACCGUUCCACGUAUUCCCUGUCGGUUUAAUGCUAACCUUAUUUGGGUUACUAUAUUUGACACAGGCAACAACAUACUUCUUUGGAGGUUAGUUUUUAGGCGACAUCAAAUUUUGGCGUUGUUGUCGAGGAAUACAAUAUGAAUUACUGACUAAAGUUGGUGAAGUUCAUGAUUUUUAUUUUCUAUUCUUAAUGUGGUAUAUGCCGGUGUAAGACAAUCAUAUAUAGUCAAGGAAAUCCCUUACUCUUUAUUUAUCUAGAGCCUAAAAGAAUUCUGCAAACUUUGAGAAGGAUAACGAAGCAUGCUCAUGAUGCUGUUCUAGAAAAGGUUCAAUAUGACCCUCUUGUUAUACCUUCCCCUACUCUAGAUCAUCCAUAGAAUAUAGCUAAUAGACAGACAAAGAUAAUGUUAGCAGAGGCAACUACAUAGUAGAGAAUAGCGGUUGAGGAGUCCUGGUUGGCUCAGUAGGAAGAGCUAGCCAGGCCAAGACUAGUAGGUGAUCGUCUAGCAACACUCAAGGUAAUCGUGAUAGAGCGUAUGGUGACAAAGCUUGAGUGAUCCCAGCCUAUUAGUAUUUAACGCCAUAUGAUGAAAAUGAGUACAUGGGUUAUGUUGAGACUACUGAGACAGGAGUCAUUGCUUCUCCUGCUUUACCCCCUAAUGUGAAGUUUGAUAUUACUACUGCAAUGAUCCAGCUGUUGAAUUUAAAGGGUGUAUUUUUGGAUUAUCAACAGAUGAUACGAACAUGCAUCUUGCCAAUUUUACUAGGAUCUCUACUUUAUAUACCAUUCCUAGGGUAGAUCAGGAAGCAUUGAGAUUGAGGUUGUUUCUAUUUUCGUUGACAGGAGAAGCAUCAUUGUGGUUGGGGGAACUUCCUAGAGGGUCAAUCAUGACUUGGAACAAGCUGCGUAAAUAGUUUUUGAAUCAAUUUUUCCCCCUUCUAGGAUACUACAGCUAAAAGAUAAAAUAUAUAACUUUCGAUAAUUGCCUGCAAAGUCCAUGUAUGAAGCAUGGUUAUGAUUCAAAAAAAAGUUAACCAUGGUACCUAACCACUGAAUUCCAGGCUCUAAUUUUCUAGAGAUAUUCUACAAAUCCCUAAAUAUAGGUUCUAGAGCUAUGGAAAACACUAUAUCUGGAGGUGCAUUUAUACGUCUACAUUGAGAUUGAUGCAGGAAAUGCUAGAUAAAAUCUUUGUCACUAACCGAGGAUGGCACACUCGAGAGGCUGAUAAAGGUACUGGUACGUAUGGUAUUGGAGCUACGAGUGACUAUUGAGCUGGUGAUGAUUUGGUAGCAUAAGAAUUUGUACAACUCUGAACAGAUAUUGGGUUUCUUACAAAAUAAUUUGCAACAAUGACUAUUGAAAAGGUGAACACAGUGGAGGCAUAGGGAUCUACUUCCAGGGCUUAUAAGUUUGACACGGAUGAUGAAGCUAAGUACUUAGAUUAAGAAGUGGCGUGUUUCUGAUUAAAGGGAAAGAAAACCAAGGUCGAAACUAUUAUAGUGAUAGGUAUUAAGAUAGAAGUAAAGAGCGAGAUGGUGAUUAGAGGUGCAAUAAUGAUUAUAAAGAGAAGAGUAAAUUAUAUGCUCCACCGGGCAGCCGAGAUACAGAGUCAAGAAUGGAAGCAAUUUUGUCGGAGUUAUUAAAAAGCCAAGUAAGUUAGAAAAGUUGCCUUAAGGAGAUUAAGAUGGACAUAUCAGGGCUGAAUUAAAAAAUGAGUCGCAUGCCACUAGGAUCAAAUAACUGGAGCAACAGUUUGGCCAAAUGUCGACCACAUUGAAUCAAAGGCAGCCUGGCACUCUUCCCAAUAAUAUAGUGCAAAAUUCAAAGAAUGAUAGUCAUUUCCAUGCUAUUACCACUCGGAGUGGUAAGACCACCAUGGAUCCUCCUAUACUCACUGCGGUUGAAUUAAAGAAAGAUGAUUUUAAUAUUGAUAUUGAGGAAGCACCUGAAGUAGAAGCUGGAAAAUCAUCAGGUGUUGAGUGUAGUGCUACAAAGGAUAAGGGCAAGGGUAAGUUUGAUUAACCUAUUCUAAAGACUAUUCCAAGACCUCCCUUUCCUUUUCUUCAGAGGCUGAAGAAGAAACAGUAAGAAGGUAAAUAUAAGAAGUUUUUGUCAAUGUUGAAGAAGUUGUCUAUAAACAUACCACUUGUAGAGGCAUCGAAGCAAAUUCCUGGUUAUGUGAAAUUCAUAAAAUAUCUUGUCACUAGGAAGUGGAAAGUGAGCUAUGGCCCAUUGACAAUAUGCAUCAUUACAGUGUUGUUGCCUCUAGAUCAUUAGUAGAGAAGAAAAAGGACCCCGGAGCCUUCACCAUUCCAUGUAUUAUUGGGUCCUUCAACUUUGCUUUGGCUUUAUGUGAUCUAGGAGUCAGUAUUAGUCUUAUGCCUCUAGUUGUGUUUAAGUAGUUGGGGUUGGGGGCACCCAAACCAACAUCGAUGAGAUUGUUGAUGGCUGAUAGUACCAUGAAAAAGUCAUUUAGUAUUCUUUGUGAUGUGUUGGUAAAGGUGGAAUCCUUUAUAUUUCCAAUCGAUUUUUUGAUACUUGAUUGUGAGGUGGACUUCUAAGUCCCUAUUAUCUUAGGCAGACCCUUCCUAGCCACAGGUAGGGCAUUGGUUGAUAUGGAGUUGGGACAGAUAAGGUUCAGACUCAAUGAUGAAUAGGUAAUCUUUAAUGUAUACCAGUUGAUGCUGCAGUCAGACAAUAUGAGAGUUGUGUCAGUGAUAGACACCAUUGAUAACGAGGUUGAUGCAGUAACUAUUCCGAUAGAGGAGCGGCUGGGUGUUGAAGUAUUAACAACUGUGAUUAUAAAUUUUGAUAGUGAUGGAAUUGAGGAAUAUGACUAGAUGGUAGGCGUUUUGUAUGGAAGAGGUUCUUACACAUAUUUCCCAAAGAAGCUUGAUCUAGAUUUGAAAAAUAGAACCACUCUUCCCACUCGUCCGUCAAUCAAGGAGCCAUUGAUCUUGGAGUUGAAAGCCCUCCUAUCUCAUUUAUGCUAUGCAUUUUUAGGGGUCAACAAUACCUUGCUAGUGAUUAUUGUAGCUGACUUAGUUAAUACAGAGGUAGAUUUAUUUUCAUCAGUGUUGUAGAGGUUCAAAAGAGCUAUAGAGUGGACUAUUGCAGAUACUGUGGGCAUCCCGCCAAGCAUUUGUAGUUAUAAAAUCCAGCUUAAGCCGGACUACAUACCGAGUAUUGAGCAGCAGCACUAGAUAAAUCCUCUUAUGCAGUAGGUAGUAAAGAAAGAAACUAUCAAGUAGUUGGAUAUAGGUGUAGUUUACCCCAUUGUGAAUAACAAGUGGGGCAGUCCUAUUCAAUGCAUCCAAAAGAAAGACGGAAUUACUGUUGUGCCAAAUGAGAAGAAUGAGCUCAUGCCAAUGAGACUAGUCAUAGGUUGGAAAGUGUGGAUGGACUAUAAGAAGCUAAAUAUAUAGACCCAAAAGGACCACUUCCCAAUAACCUUCAUGGACCAGAUGCUGGAUAGACUUGCGGGAAGGGGUUGGUAUUGCCUUCUUGAUGGUUAUUUCGGUUACAAUUAGAUCACUAUUUCUCUCAAAGAUCUAGAGAAGAUGACUUUUGCCUGUCCUUAUGGGACUUCUGUAUUUAAAAGUAUUUUGUUUGGGUUAUGCAAUGCUCCCGCUACCUUCUAGAGGUGCAUGAUAUCAAUAUUCUCUGAUAUAGUAGAAGUCAGCAUUGAGGUGUUUAUGGAUGAUUUUUUUUGUGGUUGGUGAUUUCCUUGAUAACUAUUUAGUCCACUUGAUCAAUGCUCUGCAUCCAGAUGAGGAAUGCAAUUUGGUGCUAAAUUAGAAGAAGUGUCAUUUUAUAGUGAAAGAAGGAAUUAUGUUUGGGAACAAGAUCUCAAAAUGGGGAAUAGAGGUGGGUAAGGCAAAAAUUAAGGUAAUUGAGAAGCUGCCACCACCAAUCUCGAUAAAGGGAAUUCGAAGUUUUUUAGGCCAUGUUGGCUUUUAUAGGUGAUUCAUCAAGGACUUCUCAAAGAUUGCAAGUCCUCUUUGCAAGUUUUUUGAGAAAGAGGUGAAGUUUGAUUUUGAUAAAGCAUAGCUAAAGGCUUUUGAGUGCUUGAAGAAGCAGUUGGUAUCAGCCUCUACUAUCGUGUCCCUAAGUGGUCUCUACCAUUUGAGAUAAUAUGUGAUACAAGUGAUGUGGCCUUAGGUGUUGUGCUAGGCUAAAGGUGAGGAAAAGUACUUCACCCUGUGUACUUGCUAGCAAGGCAAUAAACCCUGGUCAAAAUAGACUGUUAUCGAGCAAGAGUUACUAGCAGUGAUUUUUACCUUUGAAAAGUUUUAGUCCUAUCUAAUUGGAACUAAGGUUAUUAUGCAUACAAACCAUGCAUCAUUGAGAUACCUAAUGGAAAAGAAAGAUUCAAAGCCAAGAUUGAUUCAUUGGGUUCUCUUGCUACAAGAGUUUCAUUUUGAAGUAAAGGAUCGGAAAGGCACAGAAAAUCUAGUUGCAGAUCACUUGUCCAAACAUGAGAAAGAAGAAAUGCAAAAAAUAGGGCAUUGGCUUAAAAUCGAUAAUACUUUUCCAGAUGAGCAGAUUUUGGCAGCAUCGCAAGACCUAAUUCCCUGGUUUGCUGAUUUUGCCAAUUACUUGGCAAGUGAUCUUGUCCCAGAAAACUUGUCCUUUUAGAUGCAGAGAGGUUUAUGCAUAAUUUAAGGAAAUUCUUCUGGGAUAAGCCUUAUUUGUUUAGAAUAUAUGCGGAUGGUAUGAUUUGUAGAUACAUACCAGAGGUAGAGAUGAUGAGUAUUCUUGAGUCCUGUCAUGCUUCACCUGUUGGGGAUCACCAUGGAGGAACCCGCACAACCCAAAAAAUCUUGCAAUGUGGGUACUAGUUGUCAAUAAUAUACAAAGAUGAUCAUGAUUUUGCUACAGACUGUGACCAAUGCCAGUUUCAAGGCAAUAUUUCGAGGCGACAUGAACUCCCUAUGACCCCUAUUUUAGAGCUAGAGUUGUUUAUUGUGUGGGGUGUGGAUUUCAUUGGGCAAAUUCUGAGCUCCUAUGGCAUGAGGUAUAUCUUGGUUGCAGUUGAUUAUGUGUCCAAAUGGGUGGAAGCGGUAGUUCUCCACAAUAAUAAAGGUAAAAGUGUCACCGCAUUUCUGAAGAAGCAUAUCUUUUCUCGAUUUGGCAAUCCACGUGCAAUAAUUAGUGGCAAUGGGUCGCAAUUCUAUAAUCAUCUGUUCAAGAGUCUGCUUGAGAAAUAUGGAGUAAAGCAUAAGGUGGCAACACCUUAUCACCCUCAGACAAGCGGAUAUAUUAAGGUCUCCAACAGAGAGAUUAAGUCUAUUUUGGCGAAGACUGUGAAUGCCAAUAGGACUGAUUGGUCGAGAUGAUUGGAUGAUGUGUUAUGCGCAUACUGGACAACUUAUUAAACCCCCCAUAGGUGCCUCUUCAUAUCAUCUUGUGUUUGGAAAGGCAUGCCACUUGCCUAUUGAACAUGAGCAAAAGACACUAUGGGCGUUGAAAAGAUAAAUUUUGAGUGGCAUGAUAUGGCAAAGAUGAGUAUGAGCAACGUGAAUGAAUUGGAUGAAUUUUGACUCCGCGCUUAUGAGAGUUCUGCACUAUACGGGGAGAAGAUAAAGUUGCAUCAUGAUCGAAAAAUUGAGAAAAGAGUAUUUGAGCCAGGUAACCAGGUCACCAUCAGUUACUUAUGGCUCCAAAAGGUGAUUCAUCAGAGAAUCUGACAACAAAGAAGAACACCCAAAAGAGGCCUACCCCAAAGUCCACUCUUCACCUUAGAAACGAGGACACAGAUGAGUCAAGCAGUUACCUCAAAGAAUAUCCAGUAAAGGGGCAUGUGGAGCUAAGGAAAGCAACCCAGGGGUAAGAAAGCAACUACUGUGGAGGAGGACGCACCCCUUAGGUCCAAACCCAUGGAUGAAGAACCCUAGUACCUCACCACCUCAUUCACCAUCAUCUUUCGAUGAUGAUAAUGAUUAAGAAAAUGGUAAGGAAUGCAAGAGAGGAAGAAUCAGGGUCUUAAGGAAGAUGAAAAUGGGGGUGACAAUAAGGAUGAGAAUGAGAAUGCCGACGGGUCUGUUAUACCCUAUUUUAACGUGGGUCAAACCGAGGUACAAUAUAUUGGAAACUUCUAAAUAAAAUUUAAGGAAGUCGUCACCUAAUUAAUUAUACGGUGAAUUAGGACACCUAUUAUAAAAUAAGUUAUUAAACAAAUAAAGACUUCAUUUUAGGUCUACGCAACUUAAAGAUUUAGGUAAGGAUUCUAAUUGUCCUAAAGGGAAAGGAUUAGGCACCCUAAAUGAUCCGUUAACUAUGGUUAACCAGUCAAACUUUGAUUAGAUAAAGAAAUCAAAUAUUGAAUUAAGAAAAAGAUGAGGCAUAUAAAACAUGCUAACUAUUUAAAGAAAAGAUUGGGAAAAAAAACUUUAGAAAGAUUUACCCGCUCUUCAAAAAUUAUCAAAAAAAACUCUUGAAAUAAUGCAACCUUAUUAUUGUCGAAAGAUAGUUACUUCAAAUCAUUUCUCUUAAAAGAUAUACAGGGUUUUCAAUUAAAAUUAUAAAGGGUUAGUUAAGAAACUUCACAUUUUUUAUUCUAAAAAAAUGACUAUUUUGCUUCUAAAAAUAAAUUAAAUUUUAUAAAAAUCGAUUUAUAAUUCUACACUAAGUGAACAUCUAAAAUAUAGUUAUUUAAAUCUCAAUAAGUUGAGAAUUUAUUUAUAUUUUUUACUUAAAAGACACAAGUAAUAAAAAUAUUUUUUAUUAUUUGAAAUCCUAAAAAAAAAGUCUUGUGGAAUCAAAUUGGCAAAAUUAUAAUUUUUAUUAAGAUUGAUGACAACGAAAUUGAUUUACCAUAUCUAAAAUAAUUAUGGCCAAUUACCGAGUCUAGCGAUGAUAAAUUCGCCCACCACAAAAAACUUAUAUUUUAUUAAUUCGACACUAAUAACUAAUGAGAAACUAAUAUAAUCCUGAAUAUAAGGCAAUUUAUUCUAAAAGGUAUGUUUUGACAUAUCAAAUUUUAAACUUUUAAUGAUAUAAAUUAAAUAUCGAAGCCUAGUGAUUAUGCUAAAAUCAAUAUCCAAAGGGAGCAAGGAUGAAACAGUUAAAUUUACGAUCAUAUUCAACGAUUUAUACUAGUUCAAAUAAAAGCAGACAAAACAAAAAAUUUGAAUAACAAUGUGCAAGAAUGUUUAUAUAUAAAUAAUAAUUAGUGUCUACAGUGAGCUUCAAAAGAAGGAAAGAGGCACUAGACUGCUAGACAAAAAUAUGUGAUGCAAUAGUUGUUCGCUUCUCUAAUUUGGACAGAGAUGGAGUCAAGCCAUGAGACUCCAAAAGCACUCCCGAGUGCUCAUGUGAAAUAAAAUAAAAGAAAAGGAUUAGAAGACAAUUCAAGUUUCAAUAAAUAAAUGAAACAUGAGAUAAAGAAAAUAUAACAUAAGACAUCAAUUGUAGCUCUAUGUAUAAUCAUUUUUUUCAGAAUGAGAGCAAAUUGCUAAGCCAAGAAGAAUUCACACACUCGCAAACGCAUACUCCUGCUCUAAUAUUUUGGACUACCAUAAGAGAAUGGUAUAAGUAUGUGCAUCAAACAAAAUAACUCAAGUUGUAAAAUCAAUAAUAUUGAACUAUAUCCUUGAAAAGAUAAAUAUAUGCAAGCACAUUCCACAGCUAUCACUAAAAUUUCGUACCUAGCAUUGCGACUGACUAGAAAUAGUCACCUAUUACUAUUAAAAAAUAUACUAAAUAUUCCAAGAUUUAGGAUUUAAAACAAAUCACACUUUUCCCUCAAACGGAUGUUACUUCAAAUACAUAUCACGUUAUAAUUACGAUGCGUCCUUUUUAACCUUGAAACUGAACAUAUUAAAGUUUAGAAAAUGCUAUGGGAAUUUGGAAACAAGAUUCUACGUAACAAGCUUCUCAUGGAUCUAAAUUCACCCUUUCAAAAAAAAUGUCAAUCCCUUGUAAUACCCCGAACUUUUCUUAAGUCUAAAUUAUAGCUCUAUAAGAUUAAGGAAUAACUUUCAAAGUAAUCCGUAUUUAAAUCAUAUAGAGUUUUCCUAAUUUUGACUUUUUAUCAUGUGAAAAAUUGAAUUAUCUUUCCAACGAUACCAAUUUCAUCCAAAUCCAGUAUCGGGGUGAGAAGUUAUGACCGGUUUACUGAGAGCUGAUAGAACUGCCCAGGUGCGACGGGCAGGUUGACGGACCGUCGAGCUUGCGAUGGACCGUCGCUCAAGCCGUCAUAACCGAGGCAGUUAACCCAUUCACUGGCCAAGUGCGACGGUUGGGCCGACGGACCGCCGAGCUAGCAACGGACCGUUGCUCAAGCCGUCGAUACUAAGGCCGUGAGCCCCUAUUCUGGUCCAAGUGCGACGGUCAGACCAAUGGACCGUCGAGCCAGCGAUGGAAUAUCGCACAAGCCAUCACAAUUCCGCUCAACAUUUUGAAGCCAUUUUUUUAAAAGGGCUUUUUGGUCUUUUUCCACUUUUUUUAACACCUAGAUAUAUCAAAACGAAGUAUAGAACUUCAAAUUCAUCCAAAGCAUCAAGAACUAGGGUUUUCUCUCAAGAUUAACCCUCAAGAGCAAGACCCAAUUCCUUUUCCAAGAUUUCACCAUAGGUUUUGCAAAUUGAUUUAAGAAUCAAGGUUCCCAAGUCAAAACGGUUCAAGAACCCUCACUCAAGAGUAUGAAAAAAAAGUCUCAAGAAAGCUUGUUCAUCUAAAUUCAUAAUCUAAGGUAUGUGGGGUUUGAACAAGGAUAAUCCUUUCGUCCUUGUGCCCAAAACUUGUCUUUAAUUACAAAGAUAUAUGAUUUUACAAAGAUAUACCCUAUGUUGUUAUCCUUGAGAUAAUGAUGUUUUCAAUGAUUUAGAAAUUGAAGUACAUGAGCAUGUUGAGAUUAUAAUGCAUAUUGCUGAAAAUUUCCAGAUUUUUAUAUGAUUUAUGAAUCUUUAUAGUAUCUAGUAUGCAUUUUGAUACAUCUUAACCUGAGAUUGAUAUAUGGGUCCUUAAGCCCUACUUGAGAUUGCAAUUUUAAGAACUUUAGUGCUAUAAGCACCCAUGGUUUGAUUAUUUUGAGAUUAUUGAGAAAGUUUGACCUUGAUGGUCAUAAUAGCUUUGAAAUCCACCUCACUGAAUGAGAUUAUAGAUUUUGUAGUUGGUUUUCUUAUAAACCAUGAGAUUAUUUUUAAAACUAGAUUUCCUAUGAGAUGAGCGUAGCUAAUUAAAGAGAGUAGUAUUUAGCACCAAGUUGGGUAAGUUACUACGGUUCAUACCCCAAAACUAUGUGCCACCGUAGUAUUGAGAUUUAUGGACCCGAGGCCAAGAUAGUGAUCACUGAGUUGAGGUUAUACUUCCUGGCAAGAGUAUGACGUCUCUCUCCAAUGUAAGGUUUCUGCCUUAGGAGGAUAAAACGUUGGACUCUAUGUAGCUCACAUAGUGUAUGUCAGUUAAGAGAACCUCCCUGCUAGUAAGAGUAAAUAAUCAGUUUCUAAAGUAAAGUAUGUUCCUUGAGAUGAGUUAUUUUCCCUAAAGCUUUGAAAGAUAUCCUGGUUAAUAAAGAUUUUUAGAUACUAAGUGUAAAGGCUCGCAAACUUAUUCAAUUAAUGUUUUACUUUAGAUUUCAGCUUUAAAAAUUAUAGUCGUAGCUCUCAAAUACAGAGGUGAGCACUUUACCACUUAGUCUAUAUAUUUUGAGAAGGGAAUAGAACUACAGAUUUCAGAAAUAGUAUAUUGACUCAUGAGAUUUAUACUAUGCGUUCCAUUAUUCAUAAUUUAUGAGAUAUACAUUAUUUUUUUUUUUGAGAUUAUUCAAGCUAUGUGAGUCAGUUAUAUCAGCAUGCAUGAUUUUUAUAAAGAUUGAUGAUAUUGUUGUUUUAAGUAUUGCAUACACCCCCAUAUACUCAGUACAUCCUCAAAGUACUGAUCCACAUAUACGUCUGUGUGCGACAUUAUCUCAUAAUAUAGGUUCAGGUACUCAGUCUCAACAUUGACACUGAUCUUUGAGUACCUUUAUCUACACGUCAGCACUUGGUAAGUCCUCAUGGUUCGAGGACCUAAUCCCUUAUUUUCAGUAUUUAUAGUUGUUGAUUUUUUCUUUUCAGUCCAGUUGAGUCAGUUGGGGGUUUGUCCCAAUGACUCUCUAGUUCUUAGUAAGUAGAGGCUUGUCAGACUGUCAGGUAAAGUUUUGUUCCAGAUUUCCAGUAUUUGAUAUACAGACAUUUGUUUUCAAUGAUUUCAGUUCUGUUUUGAUAAAAUUUAACAUUUAUUGUUUGGUUAUUCAUCCUAAAGUAAGUGGUAGAAGUAGUAACAGGCUCAAAGGGGUAGCUUGGGGCUACUUGUAGCCUUAAGCACCGUGUGACGUUCUGGAAUAAGAUUUCGGGGCAUUACAUCCCUAUGUUUCAAGGACUAAAACGGUGAAAAAUGUUAACUCAAAUCAUAUUUAGGCUACGUAUAUUAAAGAAACAUACCAGUUAGAAAAAGAGGUGAUUAGAGGCCUGAGAACGUCUGAAUACAAAUGCUAAAGUAGACUUCAAACUGACUUAAACCCGAGCUGAACAUGAGUGACCUUAUCACUUAACGACGAAGAAGUAAAUAGUCCAUUAGAAGGAUAAAAGCGAGAUGAAGCAGGCCAAAUACAUUAUAGAUACUGUUUUUACCAUAUAUAAGCUAUGAAUGAUGAAUGAAAAUAUCAAAAGUGUUUGGUCAUGAUUUUGAGAAAAGCUUAAAAAAAAACUUUUCUAAACUAAAAAAAAUGGAUUUGUAUCCAAUCACUUUUACGGCAAUGAGCAGAAUGCAUAUACAAAAGAUAACAGAGAGGUUUUAACAAAAAAACACACUUGGGAACAAAUGUUAAUAGUAGAAUGCUAGGGGGACAAAGACAAAUUUUAACAUGUACUAAGACACCAUGGUCCAUACAAACUAGACUCUCAUUUUCAAACAUGCAAUUAAUUAUAUUUAAAAAAAAGUUUCAAGAUUGUGUAAUCUCCUUUCGUACUAAAAUAAGAACAUUGCAUGAUGGCUCUUUAAACUAAACUGAGUUCCAUUUACCUAAUCUUCCAACAAUGAAUACAAGGAGUAGUUACAGAUAAUUAUUAGUGAUGCCCUUGCUCAUUCUAAUGCUACUGAAAGUACCAAUAGGUUGGUUCAUAGUUAGAGAAUUAGCAACAUAGCAUCGACGCUAUUGGAACUACCAAAAGAGAUUUAUCAUAGCAAGUUAAGAUUCCUAGUUUUUUCUUUAAAAGAAAUACUUUAGCAAAUAGAGAGCUGCCAAAAAGUUGCAGAACAUAUAUCCAUGACACAAAAAAGGAUCAGCCUAUCAAUACAACAAAGAUGUAGAAAUCGGACAGAAGCGAGAGAGGACCACGAAUAACCAGAAAAUGAUCAGCCUAUCAUUACCUGUUCAAGGUAUAAAGAUCAAAGGAAACAUUCAUAACAUGGAAUAACAAUAGAGAAAAAAUUCUAUAGCGAGGGUGUAUAGUGAACUGAUAUGUGUCAUAACCCUUUGAAAAAUUCUUUCCGUAACAAAAAGAGGUUGUCGGGAUCGUGCAAAUAUACAAACUAAACAUAUAUGUAGCCAAUUAAUUAUUAUCACAUUAAAGCAUCUGAAUCGAGAUCAAAAUAACCUCAAAUAGUCCAACUUGAGCAUAUACCAGAAUACUUAAAGCUUCACCAACAGCAGUGGUGGCGCAGCGGAAAGGGACUGCCCCAACCUACCCAGAGAUCGAGGGUUCGACCCUGGGCAUGGACAAACACUCUGUUGGGAUCUCUCCCCCCAAAUGAGGCCUGAGGGCGAAUCUGGAUAUAUUCAGACUCCUAAAAAUCGGGUACCGGACACCGGGUGGUUUAAACCAAAAAAAAGAAUACUUAAAGCUUCAUGAGGUUCGUUCAAAAUUAAUCCAAAAUUGAGAAAAGUCUAUAAGCCUACUAACAGACAUAUACAAGAAUCAAAACGAUGCAAGAAUACGGAUUUUGAGUUUGCACUCAUAACUAGCAAAACAUAACAGUCAACUUUGUUUGAAACUCCAAACUUUAAACGUUUUAUUCUAGCCAAAAAAAAUACAAACAUAUCAUCUAAUGAGAACAAAAUCAAAUGAAUAGAAAACAACUUCAGUUUUAUAAUUUAUGCGUCAAAAUAUGUCAGCUAUCAUCCCAUCUAACCACCAAUAAAUAGUUAAGAAAACUAAGCAUAACGUAAAUUAGACAGGAAAGGGUUUACUGAAGCUAAGUCUCAAGUCAUGAACUCUUUACGAGCAUAUCAUUCACAAUAUAACCAAAUAACUAUAAAAUGCUUCACAUUUUGUACCAAAAUCACAUCAAAUAAAACGGCUAAUUCUAAACCGAACGAGCAGAACCUAAAAAUGAGUAUAUAAGGAUGGAGUAUUACCGAAUAUUAUGCAGCAAACUAGGGGCUCCAACAUCAAAUUUCGAUUAGAUUGCAACCUCUACAACUCGAACUCGAACUCGUAUUUUAGACAGAGAGCAAGUGAAUAAAGUGGAAAUAGUAAUAUGAACUAAUACUUGGUGCUAAUUUUUUAUAAUUCCUGGUGAUUCUUUCUUCUUGCUUUUUUCUUAGAAACAAAAUAGGAGCCAAGGGCUCCUUUUACAGCCAAAAAUUAAAGGGCGGUUGCAAGAGCUCUCAAUAGAGGCUUCAAGAAUUCAAAUUUUGAAUUCUUUGAAAGCUCAAAUCUCACAGAAACACAAAGAAAUCAAAUUAGAUAAAGAGAAAGCCUGAAUUUUUAGAUUGAUGUAGAUGGGAGAAAAGGGCCUUUUGAAGGCAUUCACUUUCAGACCAAUAGAAUUAAGGGGAGUAACAAUCCUAAAUCCUGCUAUCUUUCAUACUUUUCAACUUUACAAGGUUAGCAGGGCGGUAGAAAUCUCUUUAGGGUCUGAUUUAAGCUAAAAAGUAUUGAAAUGAUAUAAAGUUGAGGGAUAAUUGCAAGACAGAUGGAAAAGUGAAGGAGAAGGCUGAAGACCAUCGGAUUUUCCAUUAUCCGGUGGUCUAGUAGAGUAUGCUGCUGGCAGAAAGCAAAACCAGGAAACCAAUAUUUUUUAUGUUGAUGUCAGGUUAUAUUUCAACAAUGGAAAAAAAGUGAAGGGUUAGGGGGAUUAAAGGUAUGAGGGGCAAUGGGCUAGGUCGGGUAUGAUUUAAAUGGGUAGGGGGUAUUGGGAU